This 308-nucleotide long non-coding RNA is filed under the name Trifolium pratense (red clover). RNAcentral's name for it is "long non-coding RNA (TPRA_LNC007544)". Lineage: Eukaryota; Viridiplantae; Streptophyta; Magnoliopsida; Fabales; Fabaceae. The record is from RNAcentral.
GAACAAGUAACAAUAACAACCAGCUAGUUACUAAGAGAAGAAAAUUCCAGUAUAGGAAUUUUGUGAGAAAUAUUUAGAGAGAAAUAUUUCUUUGGGUGUAACUGGGUUGUGGGUUCUGUGAGAAAAACACUUUGUACAUUUCAUUAUUAUUAAUAUUGGUGUGCUUCCGCAUUAUUUUGCUCUUCCACAAAUCUGAUAAUAUGAGGAAAUUUUGCGUAGUUUCCUAACAACUGGUAUCAGAUCCAGUUGGUUGAUUUUGCUAAUUUUCUAGCGAAUAUAUUAUUCACAUAAAUAGCAACUUUUGUGAA